CAUAAUCAUUAGUCUUUUAAUUGAAGGCUGGUAUGAAUGGUUGGACGAGAUAUUGACUGUUUCAUUUAAAAUUAUUGUAGAAUUUUAUUUUUUAGUUAAAAAGCUAAAAUUUUUUUAAAAGACGAGAAGACCCUAUAAAUCUUUAUACAUUAUUUAUAUUAAUUAUAUAGAUUUUUUAAAUUGUUAUAAAAAAAUGUAUUUUAUUGGGGUGAUAUUAAAAUUUAUAAAACUUUUAAUUUAUUUAAAACAUAAAUUAGUGAAUUAAUGAUCCAUUAUUAAUGAUUAAAAAUUUAAGUUACUUUAGGGAUAACAGCGUAAUUUUUUUGGAGAGUUCAUAUCGAUAAAAAAGAUU
RNAcentral lists this ribosomal RNA (352 nucleotides) under Stiphrosoma sabulosum. RNAcentral's name for it is "partial 16S ribosomal RNA". Lineage: Eukaryota; Metazoa; Arthropoda; Insecta; Diptera; Anthomyzidae. The record is from RNAcentral.